This 355-nucleotide ribosomal RNA is filed under the name uncultured bacterium. Its description in RNAcentral is "partial 16S ribosomal RNA". It matches the Rfam family "Bacterial small subunit ribosomal RNA", at positions 338 to 710 of the family's 1533-position model. The record is from RNAcentral.
CCUACGGGUGGCAGCAGUGGGGAAUAUUGCACAAUGGGGGAAACCCUGAUGCAGCGACGCCGCGUGAGUGAAGAAGUAUUUCGGUAUGUAAAGCUCUAUCAGCAGGGAAGAAAAUGACGGUACCUGAUUAAGAAGCUCCGGCUCACUACGUGCCAGCAGCCGCGGUAAUACGUAGGGGGCGAGCGUUAUCCGGAUUUACUGGGUGUAAAGGGAGCGUAGACGGCAGCACAAGUCAGGAGUGAAAUGCCGGGGCUUAACCCCGGAACUGCUUUGGAAACUGUGAAGCUAGAGUGCAGGAGAGGUAGGUGGAAUUCGUAGUGUAGCGGUGAAAUGCGUAGAUAUUAGGAGGAACACC